UGCACCUGACAGGACUGUUUAGGUUUUCGGUCAGUCUCUGUGUUAUUUAGUGGUCAGCUGUAAUAAAAGUAUGAACACUUCCCGCGCUGCCCUUUGGUCCACACCUUCUUCAACAGACGAUCGUUACACUCACAGGGGAAAAUGUACAGGAUGACCUCAAUAGGAUUGGGAAUCAGUUCAGCCAGGAAUCAGUUAAAAGAUGUCCAGGACUGAUGUUCGACCUCCGACGAGCAAAGCCUUGCAGCACACAGCCACGACCAGCCGUUCCUGGGGUGCCGGACUGGUGUGUGUUCACACUGCAGGGAGAUGACCACCACCAGCAAUGCAGAGAGGAAGUGUUGCAGCCAGGAACCACACCAAUGUGUCAGCCAGAUGGCUCACUUAAAUUGGUUGGUUCUCUACAAAACCGUACUAAACAUGGACUACUGAUGAGGAGGGAGCUGCUAAAGCUGCCUUACCCACUGGAUGACGAAGAUGAAAACAUCAGGUUGUUUUGCCAUAAAGCCUACUAGCAGUACCUCACGUGGAGGUCCGGAAACCUGGACGGUGGCGAUGGGGGCAUCAUGCCCAGCUGUUGUGUCAGGAGAAUCAGAGACCCCUACCCUGAUCCUGAAGAGAAAUACUUUGGGUUACAGACACCUCACUUUAUAGCUUCAUCUCAGAUAUACCUGUGCUUUGUUCUCUUGUACAUGUUCUGAAAUUACACAUAGUGUAGCUGCUUUAAAAAAAGGACAGGAGGAUGGAUAAUGUUUCACUUUGACAAUUGUCCAUUCAAUCCCCUUUGUUUUCCUUAAGGUAUUUUGUCACGUAUCUGGCUUGUUAUUUUCCAAUGUGCCAUAAUGACAGAGAAACCAUGACUCUGGAACUUUGUGUAUAUUAUAUAUA
Oncorhynchus nerka (sockeye salmon) is the source of this 885-nucleotide long non-coding RNA. RefSeq lists it as uncharacterized. The transcript has 3 exons. The record is from RefSeq and is a predicted model, not a curated record. NCBI's taxonomy places the organism in Eukaryota, Metazoa, Chordata, Actinopteri, Salmoniformes, Salmonidae.